UGGGGGAUAUUGCACAAUGGGGGAAACCCUGAUGCAGCGACGCCGCGUGGAGGAAGAAGGUUUUCGGAUUGUAAACUCCUGUCGUUAGGGACGAUAAUGACGGUACCUAACAAGAAAGCACCGGCUAACUACGUGCCAGCAGCCGCGGUAAAACGUAGGGUGCAAGCGUUGUCCGGAAUUACUGGGUGUAAAGGGAGCGCAGGCGGGAAGACAAGUUGGAAGUGAAAACCAUGGGCUCAACCCAUGAAUUGCUUUCAAAACUGUUUUUCUUGAGUAGUGCAGAGGUAGAUGGAAUUCCCGGUGUAGCGGUGGAAUGCGUAGAUAUCGGGAGGAACACCAGUGGCGAAGGCGGUCUACUGGGCACCAACUGACGCUGAGGCUCGAAAGCAUGGGUAGCAAACAGGAUUAGAUACCCUGGUAGUCCAUGCCGUAAACGAUGAUUACUAGGUGUUGGGGGAUUGACCCCCUCAGUGCCGCAGUUAACACAAUAAGUAAUCCACCUGGGGAGUACGACCGCAAGGUUGAAACUCAAAGGAAUUGACGGGGGCCCGCACAAGCAGUGGAGUAUGUGGUUUAAUUCGAAGCAACGCGAAGAACCUUACCAGGUCUUGACAUCCGAUGCAUAGCACAGAGAUGUGUGAAAUCCUUCGGGACAUCGAGACAGGUGGUGCAUGGUUGUCGUCAGCUCGUGUCGUGAGAUGUUGGGUUAAGUCCCGCAACGAGCGCAACCCUUAUUGCCAGUUACUACGUUAAGAGGACUCUGGCGAGACUGCCGUUGACAAAACGGAGGAAGGUGGGGAUGACGUCAAAUCAUCAUGCCCUUUAUGACCUGGGCUACACACGUACUACAAUGGCGUUAAACAAAGAGAAGCAAGACCGCGAGGUGGAGCAAAACUCAAAAACAACGUCUCAGUUCAGAUUGCAGGCUGCAACUCGCCUGCAUGAAGUCGGAAUUGCUAGUAAUCGCGGAUCAGCAUGCCGCGGUGAAUACGUUCCC
This 997-nucleotide ribosomal RNA is filed under the name uncultured bacterium. RNAcentral's name for it is "bacterial SSU rRNA". It matches the Rfam family "Bacterial small subunit ribosomal RNA", at positions 355 to 1375 of the family's 1533-position model. RNAcentral also lists the same sequence under 1 other name. The record is from RNAcentral.